Molecule: long non-coding RNA, 618 nt
Organism: Vidua macroura (Pin-tailed whydah)
Lineage: Eukaryota; Metazoa; Chordata; Aves; Passeriformes; Viduidae
Exons: 4
Source: RefSeq, a predicted model, not a curated record
UCCCCUCACGGAGCCGCUGCUGCUGCUGCCAGGGCCGGGCACCCACAGCCUCCUACUGAUGUACACACUCAAUGAACCAAGUAUAACUUCUCUAACAAGCACUGGAAUGAGCUCAAGUCUGACUGUGCUUUUUCUAUACCAUGUACCUAAUCAAGGAAUAGACACACAUCUUGGGUACUUCUGCGCAGGUCAUGGUACCAAGUUUGGUGUACAGUGACAAGAAGUGAGGCGAGGAGGGUAGGCAGUUUCAUCAGGAGAGGCACAGAGAUGAAUAGACAGGACCUCUGUGUCCCUCAGAGGGCUCAAAUGGCAGAAGUAGGUGGGAGGUGAGCUGACCCCUCUUUCAGAGGCUUGAGGAUUCCACAUGGAACCAACCAUCUGCAAACUCCACAAAGAGGGUGCCAAAUCCCAGAUGUGUGCUCAGCUCUGGUGAACAAAUGGCUGUGUGUGAAUUAACUGCAGCAAUUUCUGGAGACCGUAUGUGGGAUCUGACAUUAUGAUAUAAGGGGUGGAGUGAGUGAACAGCUGUGUUGGCUUAGCUGCUGUCUGGGGUUAAACCAUGGCAAUAUGGAAAGUGCUGAUAAUUUCUUCACGUGGUAUUCAAAUCUUUUCUUUAAA